Molecule: ribosomal RNA, 497 nt
Filed under: uncultured fungus
Lineage: Eukaryota; Fungi
Description: eukaryotic LSU rRNA
Rfam family: 5.8S ribosomal RNA (bases 173-317)
Source: RNAcentral
CAUUACAAAUCUCUGUUGGGCGUGGAGUGCAGUUUGCUUGGCUUAGCUCAGCUUAGCUUGGCUUGGCUCAGCUUGGCUUGCUGCCUGCCGCCAACACAUAUGCACAGGGCCGCGAGGCUCUGAUGUUUACGCUUGUUUGUUUGCCAGAUUUACCUGUGACUAUAAUUAUGACAACUUUUAACAAUGGAUCUCUUGGCUCUUGCAACGAUGAAGAACGCAGUAAAGUGCGAUAUGUAGUGCGAUUUGCAUGAAUCUGUGAGUCAUCUAAUCUUUGAACGCAACUUGCGCCUCCUUGAGGCAUGUCUGUUUGAGUGCCGCAUACAUCUAUGCAGCAAUGCGAUCUGGCUGUUGUCCCCGGACUCGGUCUAAACGUAGCCAGAUGGUGGCCUGUGCGGCCGGCCCGAGUGCUAAGCAUUCUCUGGGCUGGUGCGCGGGGGCUGUCCCAUUUAAUUUAUUUAUUUGGCCUCAAAUCAGGCAAGACUACCCGCUGAACUUAA